This 340-nucleotide ribosomal RNA is filed under the name uncultured eukaryote. Its description in RNAcentral is "partial small subunit ribosomal RNA". It matches the Rfam family "Eukaryotic small subunit ribosomal RNA", at positions 587 to 972 of the family's 1831-position model. The record is from RNAcentral.
AGCUCCAGUAGCGUAUAUUAAAGUUGUUGCAGUUAAAACGUUCGUAGUUGAGUUUCGGCAAUUGUCCAAAGCGCUCGGCAUGUUCCGGCGCUUGGCGUGGCCCGCAGCACGAUAGUGCUACAUUACCUUGAGGAAAUUAGAGUGUUCCUAGCAGGCUCAUGCCUGAAUAUCUCAGCAUGGAAUAAUAUCAGAACUUUUCUGUCUGCCUUAUUGGUUCGAGAUGGUGAAGUACGGUUAAUAGGAGCAGCUUCGGGGGCAUAUGUAUUCAACUGUCAGAGGUGAAAUUCUUGGAUUUGUUGAAGACGAACUACUGCGAAAGCAUUUGCCAAGGAUGUUUUCA